GGGGAUGUGGCACAGUGGUUAGCGCGCACGCUUUGCAUUCGUAAUAUGCGUGAGGCCGUGGGUUCAAAUCCCACCCUCUCCA
This is a transfer RNA of 82 nucleotides. It matches the Rfam family "tRNA". Rfam says of the family: Transfer RNA (tRNA) molecules are approximately 80 nucleotides in length. Their secondary structure includes four short double-helical elements and three loops (D, anti-codon, and T loops). Further hydrogen bonds mediate the characteristic L-shaped molecular structure. tRNAs have two regions of fundamental functional importance: the anti-codon, which is responsible for specific mRNA codon recognition, and the 3' end, to which the tRNAs corresponding amino acid is attached (by aminoacyl-tRNA synthetases). tRNAs cope with the degeneracy of the genetic code in two manners: having more than one tRNA (with a specific anti-codon) for a particular amino acid; and 'wobble' base-pairing, i.e. permitting non-standard base-pairing at the 3rd anti-codon position.